Molecule: ribosomal RNA, 593 nt
Filed under: uncultured bacterium
Lineage: Bacteria
Description: bacterial SSU rRNA
Rfam family: Bacterial small subunit ribosomal RNA
Source: RNAcentral
CCUACGGGAGGCAGCAGUGGGGAAUCUUGCGCAAUGGGCGAAAGCCUGACGCAGCAACGCCGCGUGCGGGAAGAAGGCCUUCGGGUUGUAAACCGCUUUCAGCAGGAACGAAAAUGACGGUACCUGCAGAAGAAGGAGCGGCCAACUACGUGCCAGCAGCCGCGGUGACACGUAGGCUCCAAGCGUUGUCCGGAUUUAUUGGGCGUAAAGAGCUCGUAGGCGGUUCAGUAAGUCGGGUGUGAAAACUCUGGGCUCAACCCAGAGCCUGCAUUCGAAACUGCUGUGACUAGAGUUUGGUAGGGGAGCGGGGAAUUCCUAGUGUAGCGGUGAAAUGCGCAGAUAUUAGGAGGAACACCGGUGGCGAAAGCGCCGCUCUGGGCCAAUACUGACGCUGAGGAGCGAAAGCGUGGGUAGCAAACAGGAUUAGAUACCCUGGUAGUCCACGCCGUAAACGAUGGGCACUAGGUGUGGGUUUCAACUAACGAAAUCCGUGCCGUCGCUAACGCAUUAAGUGCCCCGCCUGGGGAGUACGGUCGCAAGACUAAAACUCAAAGGAAUUGACGGCUGAGAGNGCGAGACGACACGAGGAGAGG